RNAcentral lists this ribosomal RNA (492 nucleotides) under uncultured bacterium. RNAcentral's name for it is "partial 16S ribosomal RNA". It matches the Rfam family "Bacterial small subunit ribosomal RNA", at positions 29 to 507 of the family's 1533-position model. The record is from RNAcentral.
AGUGAACGCUGGCGGUAGGCCUAACACAUGCAAGUCGAACGGCAGCACAGUAAGAGCUUGCUCUUACGGGUGGCGAGUGGCGGACGGGUGAGGAAUACAUCGGAAUCUACUUUUUCGUGGGGGAUAACGUAGGGAAACUUACGCUAAUACCGCAUACGACCUACGGGUGAAAGCAGGGGAUCUUCGGACCUUGCGCGAUUGAAUGAGCCGAUGUCGGAUUAGCUAGUUGGCGGGGUAAAGGCCCACCAAGGCGACGAUCCGUAGCUGGUCUGAGAGGAUGAUCAGCCACACUGGAACUGAGAAACGGUCCAGACUCUUACGGGAGGCAGCAGUGGGGAAUAUUGGACAAAGGGCGAAAGCCUGAUCCAGCCAUACCGCGUGGGUGAAGAAGGCCUUCGGGUUGUAAAGCCCUUUUGUUGGGAAAGAAAAGCAGCAGGUUAAUACCCCGCUGUUCUGACGGUACCCAAAGAAUAAGCACCGGCUAACUUCGUG